This 321-nucleotide ribosomal RNA is filed under the name uncultured bacterium. RNAcentral's name for it is "bacterial SSU rRNA". It matches the Rfam family "Bacterial small subunit ribosomal RNA", at positions 28 to 334 of the family's 1533-position model. The record is from RNAcentral.
GAUGAACGCUAGCGACAGGCUCAACACAUGCAAGUCGAGGGGCAGCGGUGGAGAGAGCUUGCUCUCUUCAGCCGGCGACCGGCGCACGGGUGAGUAACACGUAUGCAACCUGCCCUUGACACUGGGAUAACCCGGAGAAAUCCGGACUAAUACCGGGCGAUACCCCUGGAGGACAUCCUCCGGAGGUCGAAGGAAGUGAUUCCGGUCAAGGAUGGGCAUGCGGCGCAUUAGCUAGUUGGCGGGGUAACGGCCCACCAAGGCAACGAUGCGUAGGGGUUCUGAGAGGAAGGUCCCCCACAUUGGUACUGAGACACGGACCAA